This 249-nucleotide ribosomal RNA is filed under the name Triticum aestivum (bread wheat). RNAcentral describes it as "partial small subunit ribosomal RNA". Lineage: Eukaryota; Viridiplantae; Streptophyta; Magnoliopsida; Poales; Poaceae. The record is from RNAcentral.
AUGGCAUCGCGAAGGAGGUGGCGUCGAGGCAGGUGGUCCACGACAUGGUCGAAAUGGGGGUCGCUACGAGCUCCUCCACAUUUAAGACUUAAUCGAAUGAUUACCCAACAGGUAAAAAGAGCUUUUGUUUCCUCUCAUCGAGAUAGAGGUAGGCAAAAGAGGGAUUUUCGUCGUUUGUGGAUCACUCGGAUAAACGCAGCAACGAAGAUGUACCUUGUGGGGUGGGGUACGAGUAGACCAGACCAAUGA